UACAGGGGGUGCAAACGUUGCUCGGAAUCAUUGGGCGUAAAGCGCACGUAGGCGGCUUUUUAAGUCAGGGGUGAAAUCCUGGAGCUCAACUCCAGAACUGCCUUUGAUACUGAGAAGCUUGAGUCCGGGAGAGGUGAGUGGAACUGCGAGUGUAGAGGUGAAAUUCGUAGAUAUUCGCAAGAACACCAGUGGCGAAGGCGGCUCACUGGCCCGGUACUGACGCUGAGGCACGAAAGCGUGGGGAGCAAACAGG
This 253-nucleotide ribosomal RNA is filed under the name uncultured bacterium. RNAcentral describes it as "partial 16S ribosomal RNA". It matches the Rfam family "Bacterial small subunit ribosomal RNA", at positions 524 to 776 of the family's 1533-position model. The record is from RNAcentral.